Small nuclear RNA from Suncus etruscus (white-toothed pygmy shrew), 163 nucleotides. RefSeq annotates it as U1 spliceosomal RNA. NCBI's taxonomy places the organism in Eukaryota, Metazoa, Chordata, Mammalia, Eulipotyphla, Soricidae. The record is from RefSeq and is a predicted model, not a curated record. The transcript has a single exon.
AUACUAACCUGGCAGUGGAGAUAUCAAGUUCACGAGGGUGGUUUUCUUAGGAUGAGGCUUAUUCAUUGCACCCCGGAUGUGCUGACCCCUGCGAUUUCCCCAAUGUGGGCAACUCGACUACAUAAAUCGUGAUAGUGGGGGACUAUGUUUGUGCUCUUCCCUG